Molecule: non-coding RNA, 518 nt
Organism: Phasianus colchicus (ring-necked pheasant)
Lineage: Eukaryota; Metazoa; Chordata; Aves; Galliformes; Phasianidae
Source: RefSeq, a predicted model, not a curated record
GAAGGUGCAGAGAGUGGCAGUGAUCUUAAAGAUUCCUUUCAAAAUUGAGCAGUUCAAGCUGGCAUAGGCCACUCGAGAAGCAGCUGGGGAUUUGUCAGCAAUUACUCUUCCUUCCUGCCUGCCUUUAUUAAUUAGGAGUUCAUGAGAGCAAGAGACAAUCACAGAUUCAAAGAUAAAAUUGAUAACUGAAAAUGUCAAGUUGCUGUCAAGAACUGUGACCGACUUGAGGCAGAAUGCGUACACUGAAACCUGGCAGUUUGGGAAGAUCAUUAUAACAAUUCCCCUCUGGUACCACUGGGUAUUGGGGAUGGAGAGAUUGUACCUCACUCACCAAUUGCCUUGGCAUCCCAGCUACCUGUACAUCCUCCCAGCUGUUGACAGCAUGGAUCAUAGCCAGGCAGGAAACAAGGUCAGACAUUCUCUGGCAGAAGACACAGGACUUCUCAAGAGAGAAGCAAGACAAAUUCACCUUUCCCAGCGUGUUUCUUAGCCAUAAGUCAUACUUUCAAAAGUCAACA